GGAGGUAGUGACAAUAAAUCACAAUGCGGGACUUCUGUUUCGCAAUUGGAUUGAGAACAACGCACAACACUUAUCGAUAAACAAUUGGAGGGCAAGUCUGGUGCCAGCAGCCGCGGUAAUUCCAGCUCCAAUAGCGUAUAUUAACGUUGUUGCAGUUAAAAAGCUCGUAGUUGAAGUGAAGUAAUGAGGUUGUGAUUUGAAAUUUUUCAUUUCGCUUCUUAAUUACUCUUUCCAAAUUGUUUGCAUGGGUAUUCAUUUAUCUGUGUAUUGCAUUUGGUCAUUUACUGUGAGAAAAUUAGAGUGUUCAAAGCAUACGUUUGUUUGAAUACAUUAGCAUGGAAUAAUUCGAAAAGGCUUUCAUGUUCGAUUUGAUUGGUUUGUUCGUGAGAGCAAGAUUAAAAGGGACAGUUGGGGGUAUUCAUAUUCAAUAGUCAGAGGUGAAAUUCUCGGAUUUAUGGAAGAUGAACAA
This 469-nucleotide ribosomal RNA is filed under the name Blastocystis sp. subtype 10. Its description in RNAcentral is "SSU rRNA". It matches the Rfam family "Eukaryotic small subunit ribosomal RNA", at positions 460 to 942 of the family's 1831-position model. Lineage: Eukaryota; Bigyra; Opalinata; Blastocystidae. The record is from RNAcentral.